RNAcentral lists this long non-coding RNA (206 nucleotides) under Gossypium raimondii (Peruvian cotton). Its description in RNAcentral is "long non-coding RNA (GRAI_LNC004104)". The record is from RNAcentral. Lineage: Eukaryota; Viridiplantae; Streptophyta; Magnoliopsida; Malvales; Malvaceae.
AUAUAUAGAAAGUCAUAGUAUGACAUAGUAACUAUGGCUAGCCUUACGAGUUUUUGUGCACUAAUCAAGAGGGUUACAAAGACUUUUCUCUUUUUCAAUACAUCUCAAUCUUGAAUGCUUUCUUACUAGUUUAAGACUUUUUUUUACUCAUACUAAUUUUCUUUUCGGAUUUUUCUUUUUGUUUCACACUUUAGGCUUACUUAUAG